AUACGUGCUCCGGGGUCGGUGUAAGUCCGAACCGGCGGUGACAGUCCGCGACCCGCGAGCCGGUGGUUUUCUUCGGAGAAUCCCGGCAGACGGUUGAACCGGUGAAAUUCCGGUACCGACAGUUAAAGUCUGGAUGAGAGAAGCACGUAC
This is a non-coding RNA of Arthrobacter sp. P2b, 150 nucleotides long. NCBI's taxonomy places the organism in Bacteria, Bacillati, Actinomycetota, Actinomycetes, Micrococcales, Micrococcaceae. The record is from Rfam.